GCUUGUCUCAAAGAUUAAGCCAUGCAUGUCUAAGUGUAAAUAAGUCUAUACUGUGAAACUGCGAAUGGCUCAUUAAAUCAGUUAUCGUUUAUUUGAUGAUCUCUUACUACUUGGAUAACCGUAGUAAUUCUAGAGCUAAUACAUGCACUGAAGCCCCGACUCCGGCAACGGCAGAAGGGGUGCUUUUAUUAGAUCAAAACCAAUGGGAGGCGGCCGUCAAAAAGCCGCCACCGUCCUUGAUGGUGACUCUGAAUAACUUUGGCUGAUCGCACGGCUUUAACGCCGGCGACGCAUCUUUCAAAUGUCUGCCUUAUCAACUUUCGAUGGUA
RNAcentral lists this ribosomal RNA (329 nucleotides) under uncultured fungus. Its description in RNAcentral is "partial small subunit ribosomal RNA". It matches the Rfam family "Eukaryotic small subunit ribosomal RNA", at positions 30 to 330 of the family's 1831-position model. The record is from RNAcentral. Lineage: Eukaryota; Fungi.